RNAcentral lists this long non-coding RNA (214 nucleotides) under Elaeis guineensis (African oil palm). RNAcentral describes it as "long non-coding RNA (EGUI_LNC059355)". Lineage: Eukaryota; Viridiplantae; Streptophyta; Magnoliopsida; Arecales; Arecaceae. The record is from RNAcentral.
AGAUUUGUAUAGAAAUGUGUCAGCCAAUCUGGCAUCUAGGGCACACAUCUAACACCACGUCAGUUGGACAGAUACUAUGAUUUUCUGAUCCAAGAUGGUGAUCCCAUCGAACUUGAUGAGAACGAUGAGGAUCCGAUCACCUAUAUAGAGGCCAUGCAAAGGCUCGAUUCUCAAAAAUGAUUUGAGGCCAUGAAGUCUGAGAUGGAGUCCAUGG